This 228-nucleotide ribosomal RNA is filed under the name Salmonella enterica subsp. enterica serovar Typhimurium. RNAcentral describes it as "partial 23S ribosomal RNA". It matches the Rfam family "Bacterial large subunit ribosomal RNA", at positions 2715 to 2925 of the family's 2925-position model. Lineage: Bacteria; Pseudomonadati; Pseudomonadota; Gammaproteobacteria; Enterobacterales; Enterobacteriaceae. RNAcentral also lists the same sequence under 1 other name. The record is from RNAcentral.
UUCGGGUUGUCAUGCCAAUGGCACUGCCCGGUAGCUAAAUGCGGAAGAGAUAAGUGCUGAAAGCAUCUAAGCACGAAACUUGCCCCGAGAUGAGUUCUCCCUGAGACUUUAGGUCUCCUGAAGGAACGUUGAAGACGACGACGUUGAUAGGCCGGGUGUGUAAGCGCAGCGAUGCGUUGAGCUAACCGGUACUAAUGAACCGUGAGGCUUAACCUUACAACGCCGAAG